GUAACUCAUUUUUUAUUAGUUGGCUGAUUUAAACUACUUUCCUUUUGCACGAUGUGACGAACCACUGGAUAUGGUUCUAUCAACAAUGACGGUUGUUUGCAUUUCAUGUACAUGACUGUAAUGUUUAGACUACAUUGUCACCAUCAUCAAACUUUGCAAUGCAUCAAAUGUGUUUAGCAGCUUGCACGCAGAGUAUCCAGGAGAAAUCCUCUGAAAUUUGCGGUUAGUUCUUAAAUAGUAGCGGUUGUGGUUUUUUGAUAAUGUUGAUAAGGAUUCACAACCAUAUAUAAAUCUCAUCAUUCCUACAGGCAAUGCGGCGUGAAUUGGAGAUUUUUCUUAGGUGAAAAAAAGAGCAGAGAUUUAGUUGCGGCAAGACCAGAUGGGAAUCUUGGCCAUGAUGCUGCAAGAGUCGAUCACCUUCAACUUCGAUCAUUAAUCUUGUUGAUAAAGCCAUAACAUAUGGUGGUGAGAAAUGAUCAAGGAUAUUUACUGAGUUUUGGUGUACUUACUGAUUGAAGAGCAAUAACCUCUGUCUGGAUAUUAUGCGAGGAACUUCAAUGAAAGGUGGUGUCGCACAUUGUAUCCAGCACUGCUGUGGAUUCUGGAUUGGGAAAGAGAACGAGUACAGACUUUCACCAUCCGAAGUGUACUCAAAAGUGAUCACUGUAGAAAGAAAGAAAGAAAGAAAGAAGCACUUACGCAACAGAGAUGAAGCUUCGACGAUGCGAGGGAAGCAGAGAUUGUGGGGGAGAAUUGGAUUGCCACGGAAGCUCUGAUAGACCCAGCCAGCGAACAACAACAUCAUCAUCAUCGUCAUCAUUCUAAGCCCAGCCCAGCCCAGAGAAAAGUGACGAGAAGGGCAAAGCAAAACUAAGAGCAAAAAGCAAAGACCAGGAAGGGAACAACAGAAAACAGCAGAGAAAGAGAGCAGAGAGCAGAGCCGGACAGAGCCUCCUCCUCCUCCUCCUCAUUUCUCCUUCUCAUUCUCAUUUCUUACAAUACUCUUGCACAAAUCCUUUGAUAUAAGAGGCCGCUGUAGACACUAGUAGGAUGCCAAGUUUUGCAGUCAAUAAAAGCAUGUUCUAAUUGGAAUAGCAUUAAUAAUAAAUAAUAGGAUAUUCUAUCAAAGAGAAAACAUUUGCAUGAUUUCCAUAAACCAACACAAGUUACAUUGACAAGAAUUUUUUUAAAGGAAUGUAAAACAAAUCAAUAUUCUUUCUUAUAAUCACUUCAUAAUAUUAAUUUACAAGAAUUAAAAAGAAAAUUCGCUUUUUCAGUUAUUUAUUUAUUUGUUUAUUUAUAUUUUGUGUCAAGAAUGCAUUUUGAAUCACUGUAACAAAUGUAGCAAACACAGGUAUACAAAAGGAUCACAAAAAGUAGAAAUCACAUCCAAAGUCAUAGAAAUUUUCAACGGCUACGUCCAUAAUACAAGUUUUUGUUUUUGAAUGUUCGUUUUUGAACUCAAGAAAUUACAUUAAAAAAAAUUUAUAAAACAAUCUUUGCACAUGAAACCAACCCUAAUUUAAAUCUACCUAUCAAAAAUAGUAUCAACAUGUAAAAUACUUUGUUAUAGGUUUGAAUCUACAAACUCGGAUUUGCACAUAUACUGAAGUGGAAUUGCAUAUAAGUACAAAAAAAAUUACUGAGAAAAAAAUCGAUAUUAAGUUAAAGAACUUUUUUUACAUGAUAAAAAAAGAAAUUAUUGAUUUUAUGUCAAUAAAUUUCAAAUCAAUGCUAAUCUUUAAUUUUAAACCAAGAAUUGUAAUGUGAAAAGAAGAUCAAGAAAUAACCACACUAAUAAUGAUUAUUAUUACUAUUAUUAAAAAGCAACUACAAAUCAAAAAAACAAAACAUCAUAAAAACUAAAAUUAAAAUGCUAGAAUGGUUACUUAAAAUCUUGUUAAAAAUAUACCAACUGUUAAAACAGAUUACCAUGAAUAUAAUGUAUAUUUUUCUUUCACUAAAAGUUAAUGAUAAUGUUAUACAAAUUAUAUGUUAUCACAUGUAAUGAUAAAAACCAAUUGAAUGACAUUGUAUCAUUAUCAGAAAAUAAUUAAUUCCACCCACUUCUUAAGAUCCUUAAAAUAUAUAAAUAUUGUACUUUAGAAUCUGGAAUAACAGAAUGUUAUAAAUAAAUAAAAUCUUACCUGAUAAGUGUAGUUCAAAAAUGUAGAAGUUCAAACAUUAAAUUAAAAGUAUGUAGUUAAUAAAAACAUAACACACAGUUGAUUGUUUACAUACAACACUAAGUGUAAACAUGUCCUUAAUUGAAAUAUUUAUCAAACAUGAGAGAACUUCAAUUUUGAACAUACACAACAUGAUAUGUGGAUAUGAAGCAGAUAUGUCUGUCUCACAAAAUGUACUUCAAAGUUGAUAUACAAACAUGUUUGUGUGGCAAUUCAAGCCACUUCUUCUUUUGUCUUCUUCUUUCUCUUAUGCUUGUGGUGUG
RNAcentral lists this long non-coding RNA (2449 nucleotides) under Physcomitrium patens. Its description in RNAcentral is "long non-coding RNA (PPAT_LNC007302)". Lineage: Eukaryota; Viridiplantae; Streptophyta; Bryopsida; Funariales; Funariaceae. The record is from RNAcentral.